Long non-coding RNA from Monodelphis domestica (gray short-tailed opossum), 969 nucleotides. RefSeq lists it as uncharacterized. The record is from RefSeq and is a predicted model, not a curated record. Lineage: Eukaryota; Metazoa; Chordata; Mammalia; Didelphimorphia; Didelphidae.
GUUGCUACAAAAGAGAAUAGGGUGUUCUCAUCCCAUAAAGGACAAGCAUAAGGCAAGGCAAUUUUUUGAAUGUUGAAUGUCAAAAAGACUUUAUACAGGUCAAAUUUUCCCCAGCUGUGGGCAGAGACAGAAGAUGAAGGUGAAGGUGAUUUUGAAGGUGUGGAGGCUGAAGAAUUAAGAAAACUUCAACCAAGGAGGCGAUGAAAGAUACUUCCAAAUGCCUGGUACUUCAUUUCCUGACAAUCAAAGGCAUGUGCUAAUGAUGACCCUAGGCUCCUGUCUGAGAAUGAGAUGGAGCUGACAAGUAUCCAUCACUGGCCAUGCAAAACAAUAUGUGACAAGUUUUUAAACUAAAAACCCAAGUCUCCUGUUUAAUUACUGAGCAGCUAGACACUGUUCCAUGUUACCCUGUUGUGACAGCCCAAACCAACACUGAACAGCUGAAUACAGUCAAGGCCCCGUGAGGGUACUGAUGGAUGUGACAUACCAUUUGCUUACUUAUGGGACAGAAUAGGGAUUUCGUGGUGACAUUUAAAACCAUUAGUUUGUCUCCCUUACUUAAUCUAAAUCUCCCUGAAAAUUAUUACAAAUAAAAUUUUAGUUGCUAUUUCAAUGGACAAAAUGGAAAAAAAAAGGUGCCUACUACUGCUUCUACAUGGUUUACCACUUAGUUCAAUAACAUCUUAACUCAGUUGAUUGAUGAGCUAAAAAAAAGAUGCAUAUUGGAGCACAUGAAUGAUCUCCUACCUAGGGCUACCCUGAACCAGCAGGUAGAAUUCUGGGAAGAGGUAAAUUUAAGCCAUUUUUCAGGAAGGUAAAAAAUAAUAAUAAUGCUACAAUGAAUAGUCUAAAAUAGUUCUUUCCUUUACAGGCUAUCCUUUUAGGUGGUCUGGAUUAACAUGUGACAUCUGGGCAGAACUUGGUACUUUUUCCUUAUACUUUCUCAUUUUCCCACUUAUUUAAGCAUUU